Etheostoma cragini (Arkansas darter) is the source of this 130-nucleotide long non-coding RNA. RefSeq lists it as uncharacterized. The transcript is spliced from 3 exons. The record is from RefSeq and is a predicted model, not a curated record. NCBI's taxonomy places the organism in Eukaryota, Metazoa, Chordata, Actinopteri, Perciformes, Percidae.
GUUUCAAAAAUCUGCAAUCUCCUUUGUGGGGGGAGGGGCUUAGGAGACCGUUUUGGGCUUUAGUGGAAAGGGGGUAGGGAUUGAGAAGUUGUCAAUUUUCAAAUUUUUGGGCUAAGUCCUGGCUCUUUGC